Molecule: long non-coding RNA, 2659 nt
Organism: Vespa mandarinia (Asian giant hornet)
Lineage: Eukaryota; Metazoa; Arthropoda; Insecta; Hymenoptera; Vespidae
Source: RefSeq, a predicted model, not a curated record
GCUAUGAACCGUGAUCUACCAUAAUGCUAUCGCUGUCAAGGCACCAAAAAAAUACUGCAACAGACUUCCAGUUUGUGUAUAAUAUAUAGGCAAUUACCCUACAAAAUCAUGUCCACAGCAAGGAAAAAUCGAAAAUCUGAAAUGUAGCAAUUAUCAUAAGAAACAUUUCGCAAAUUAUAAAGGUUGCGCAGUCCAUAAGCAGUUACAAUUGAAACUCUUCCUUACCUUAAGGAAAAGAAUCGAACAAUUUUCUUUGGAAAUAAACAACAAUUAUUCAUCAAAUACCGAGGCAUACAAUUUAAUACAUACACUGAUGAUUAACCAUGUUCAAUCGUUGUACGGGAUUACAAUGCCAAACACAGACACUGGGGCUCCAAAAAAAUAACAUCCAGGGAUAAAAUACUACUUCAAGUCAUAGACAAAUUAUCUUUAAUACUAAUAUUAACUGGUGAACUCACUUACUAGCCACAGGCAAUCAAAAAAUUAUAUAUUCUGCUAUCAUUAAAGGAAUAAAUAGAAUACAGCUAACGUUAUCGUCGAGCUCUGAUUACAUUUCUAUACUGUUAGAAUACAGACAAAAUCUACCAAUAGAAUAUCCGCUUGUACAAUAAUAUCAUUGACUGGAACAGGUUCAGAGUACAAAUUAACAAAAAUCUAAAUUGUAAUAUCCCAUUAAAAAGACCUAUGCUCAUUAAAAACGUAGUAGACUACGCCACUAAUACAAAUAAUACAAAUAAUCCAAGAAACAGCUUAGACACUUCUUUCAUGGGCAAGAGCAUAAUAGGCUUCUUAUAUCCGAAUUACAUAUUACACCAAAAAGGAAAGAAUAAUCGAAAUAGCAUCAGUAUAAAACAGCAGAAAACAAAAUUAAUUUAUCAAAAAAGUUAAAAAAAAUGCUAAAGGAGCAUCACAGUAAAUAAUUCACUCAAUACCUCAAAAAUUUGACACUAAAUGAAAAUUACACACUGUGGAAGGCUGUAAGGAGACUUAAAAAAUUAAUAGUGUAGAUACCAGUAUUAAGAAAACUAAACGGCUUUUGGAGAAAAAGUUCUUCGAAACAAAUUUCAACAUUUGCAGAACAUUUUCAUCAAACUUUUCAACCUAAUGUAAUAACAAUAUGUCUAGCAACAAUAACAAAAUUAACAAGCAAUACUAUCUUUUAUGAAGGAUAAUACAUCACGAUAUGCAGUAUUACAAAGAAAGAAAUAAAACGACUGAUAAUAAUUAAAACUAAAAUCUCCGAGAUUCGAUUUAAUCAGUGGCAAAAUAAUCAAAAAACUUCUGAACGAAGCCAUCAGAAUGAAUACUAUCAUAUUCAACGCCAUUUUCAGAAUCCAGCAUUACCCCAGCUUAUAGAAAUUGUCUAAAAUAAUAAUGGUGUCUAAACCAAAUAAAAACGUACACGAUCUUUAUAGAUAGUAUUAGAAAGACUGGUCUCGUUUUUACUAAUAUUACCUAAGCUAUAUAAAAAAAUCCUUUUAACUAGAAUCAAGGAAAUAAUUAACAGUAAAGAGAUAAUACCAAACCCUUAAUUUGAUUUCAGAGAAAGGAACGCUACAAUCGUAAAAAUAAAUACAGUAUAUGCUUACUUCUACAUAUAGAGAAAACAUUCGACAAGAUCGGGAAUGAAGGUCUCAUGUUAACUAUAAAACAGCACUUUCCAGAUGCAAUCUAUCAACUACUUAAAUCUUAUCUUGAAAAUAGAUUUUUAGGUAAAAAUCAAAAACUCGAUAUAUGAAAUCAUAAAUCCAGGAAUAUCACAAGCAAGUGUAUUGGGACAGACACUUUAGACUUUAUAUGUAAUAAACAUUCAUUCCAACAACCCCAAAUAGCACAACAUGCACAUUUGUGGACGAUACCGGAAUAAUUACAAUUCAUGAAAAUCUAAAUAAAGCAGAUAGAAGAUCAUAUAAAUCUACUGGAGGAAUGACUGAAAAAGAAAAGAAUUAAUGUAAACUAUAAUGUAAUAACACUUAAAUGUAGUUACAUCACUUUUACCCUUCGCAAAGGCAUUAUCUCAGAAAUCAAACUUUACAGGUAAAGAACAUCAGAUAUCUAGGACUCCACGUAGAUGCAAACUUACGUGGAAAAAGCACAUAAAUAAAAAAAUUCAGUGAAUCAGAAUUCUAAGAAAGGGCAUGUGUUGUCUAAUCAACUGCCGUUCGAUACUAAAUACAAACAAUAAAUUAUUAAUCUAUAAAGCCAUAAUAAAAUCUGUCUGAACAUACGGCAAACAAUUAUGGGGUACAUCAGCAAAAGGUCAUGUCAACAAAAUGGAAAUUAUACAAUCAAUCACACUACAUACAGUAGUAGAAGCAUCAUGGUACAUAAAAAACGAAAAACUACGUUGAGACCUACAAAUCCUCAUUGUAAAAGAGGGAAUACAGCAACUUUCCAGCAGCUGCAGAGAGGGAAAAAUAAAUCAUCCAAACCUAUUAGCCAACACCUUGUACACUGUUAACGUCAUGAAAAGAUUGAAGAAAAAAUAAUCAUAGUAUCUAAUAUGGAUACCUGAAUAUGAUCACUGCAUCAGUGCUACUCUAUUGGGCAUAGCACUCAUAUGUUACCCUUAUUUGCUAAUUCAACUAGUCGAAUCUCUCAUUCGACAGAUUGAAGAGACUUUAAUUUGGAGUUAAUAUAAAAAAAAAUAAAUAAAAAA